Molecule: long non-coding RNA, 1239 nt
Organism: Papaver somniferum (opium poppy)
Lineage: Eukaryota; Viridiplantae; Streptophyta; Magnoliopsida; Ranunculales; Papaveraceae
Exons: 4
Source: RefSeq, a predicted model, not a curated record
AGCAGACGCGUGUCUUUGAUGUUAACAAUGUAAAAGAAGUUUUCUCCUCAAAGUCUAGAUCCAGCAAUUCUUCCUCGCUUCAUACCUAUUUUAAGUAAAAAAAAUUUCUCCUCCAUCUGAUAUUCUGGCAGAAAAUUAGGGGCUAUUCAGAGAAGAUUUAUUCCGCAAUCUUUGAAAUAUUUCUGCAUCGCAGGAUGAAAAUCUAUGUAAACAAAAAUCUAUUAAGAAGGAAUGGAAGAAGAACAUCCAGUGGUGGUAAUAAUCUCGGUCAAUUUUGUUUUUCGAUUUGAACCCUAACAAUUUCAUUUUGGGCGGGAUGAAAUCAAACGAAAAUUCUUUUGGGAGGGAUUCCUGCUUGGCGUUUUGGAACAACUAUAAGUUCAACCCUAAGCAAUUCAGAGAUGUGAGAGAUAUAUCUUUUUUGGGGGAUUAGUAGUUCAGAGAUCAAAAAACAUCCAAGCCUACACAACACAAACUUCUAGCAACAUGUAGCUUAAAAUUCGAUAAGCUGACAAACUUCUAGCUUAAAAACAACAUGUGUUUUUGUUUGUUUAUUCGAAAUGGAGGAGCUGUUACCCAUCUUUUUUUCUAGAAACAAAUGGGAUACAGUGAAGGAUGUUAUCUCCCUGGAUGGCAACUAGUCUGAAUAGUGAGGAAGUUGCGGCUUUUUAACAACAACUUGGAUGACUGAGCUUCUUCUCAAUGCAUCGACAGUUUGCAUAGUUCUAGAGAUGUUCCCCCAAAAGUUGAAUUGUUGGGCAGAGUUUAAGAAUUCUUUGCGACUCUAACAAUGUUGCAGGCUAAAGGAAUUAAUGUUCCCAACAAUUUAGGGUAUUGGGAUCCCAGGGACACCUUCGUCCUUUGGUCUUUUGCUGUUUGAGGAACUUCAGGAAAAAGGCUGUUGCACUUGCAAGUUACUGAUGGAUGACCACUACGACUUCAUGAUUGAGGAAAUCUUUGAUCCAAGUGCGAUGUUGUGACAUAGAGAUGAUGAUGUUGUGCUUGGGGAUGUUUCAAGAGGUGAGUUUACCAAGUGGCCCAAGACCUAUGCAACUACUGUAGCCUGUAGGAGAGCGAUCAAGUUAGAGUUGCAGUGACAGCAGAUUGAUCACUUUUUAAAUUUUCAAGAUGUAACUUGGAGUUGGAGUUGUUAGGAUAUGUCUUCCAUUUAUGUUCGAAUAUUCUAUUUUCUUUAGAAAAUAGUUAUAAAGUUAAUUAAUAAAGUCAAUUUGUUUAAUA